CCUACGGGUGGCAGCAGUGAGGAAUAUUGGUCAAUGGACGAAAGUCUGAACCAGCCAAGUAGCGUGAAGGAUGACUGCCCUAUGGUUUGUAAACUUCUUUUAUAGGGGAAUAAAGUUAUCCACGUGUGGCUUUUUGCAUGUACCUUAUGAAUAAGGAUCGGCUAACUCCGUGCCAGCAGCCGCGGUAAUACGGAGGAUCCGAGCGUUAUCCGGAUUUAUUGGGUUUAAAGGGAGCGUAGGUUGGUUGUUAAGUCAGUUGUGAAAGUUUGGGGCUCAACCGUAAAAUUGCAGUUGAUACUGGCAGACUUGAGUACAGUAGAGGUAGGCGGAAUUCGUGGUGUAGCGGUGAAAUGCUUAGAUAUCACGAAGAACUCCGAUUGCGAAGGCAGCUUACUAAGCUGUAACUGACACUGAGGCACGAAAGCGUGGGGAUCAAACAGGAUUAGAUACCCUUGUAGUC
RNAcentral lists this ribosomal RNA (460 nucleotides) under uncultured bacterium. Its description in RNAcentral is "partial 16S ribosomal RNA". It matches the Rfam family "Bacterial small subunit ribosomal RNA", at positions 338 to 795 of the family's 1533-position model. The record is from RNAcentral.